GGCGCACGGGUGCGUAACGCGUAUGCAAUCUACCUUAUACAGGGGAAUAGCCCAGGGAAACUUGGAUUAAUGCCCCAUAGUAUCAUUAAGUAGCAUUACUUGAUGAUUAAAGAUUUAUCGGUAUAAGAUGAGCAUGCGUCCCAUUAGUUAGUUGGUAAGGUAACGGCUUACCAAGACAGCGAUGGGUAGGGGCCCUGAGAGGGGGAUCCCCCACACUGGUACUGAGACACGGACCAGACUCC
Molecule: ribosomal RNA, 242 nt
Filed under: uncultured bacterium
Lineage: Bacteria
Description: partial 16S ribosomal RNA
Rfam family: Bacterial small subunit ribosomal RNA
Source: RNAcentral